GACGAACGCUGGCGGCGUGCUUAACACAUGCAAGUCGAGCGAAUGGAUUAAGAGCUUGCUCUUAUGAAGUUAGCGGCGGACGGGUGAGUAACACGUGGGUAACCUGCCCAUAAGACUGGGAUAACUCCGGGAAACCGGGGCUAAUACCGGAUAACAUUUUGAACCGCAUGGUUCGAAAUUGAAAGGCGGCUUCGGCUGUCACUUAUGGAUGGACCCGCGUAGCAUUAGCUAGUUGGUGAGGUAACGGCUCACCAAGGCAACGAUGCGUAGCCGGCUUGAGAGGGUGAGCGGCCACACUGGGACUGAGACACGGCCCAGACGCCUACGGGAGGCAGCAGUAGGGAAUCUUCAGCAAUGGACGAAAGUCUGACGGAGCAACGCCGCGUGAGUGAUGAAGGCUUUCGGGUCGUAAAACUCUGUUGUUAGGGAAGAACAAGUGCUAGUUGAAUAAGCUGGCACCUUGACGGUACCUAACCAGAAAGCCACGGCUAACUACGUGCCAGCCGCCGCCGUAA
Molecule: ribosomal RNA, 515 nt
Filed under: uncultured bacterium
Lineage: Bacteria
Description: partial 16S ribosomal RNA
Rfam family: Bacterial small subunit ribosomal RNA
Source: RNAcentral